GCAGCGAAUCCGCGAGGAGGAGCGAAUCACAAAACUCGGUCCCAGUUCAGAUUGCAGGCUGCAACUCGCCUGCAUGAAGUUGGAAUUGCUAGUAAUCGCGAAUCAGAAUGUCGCGGUGAAUACGUUCCCGGGCCUUGUACACACCGCCCGUCAAACCAUGAGAGUUGGCAACACCCGAAGUCGGUAGUCCAACCGCAAGGAGGACGCCGCCGAAGGUGGGGUUGAUGAUUAGGGUUAAGUCGUAACAAGGUACC
Molecule: ribosomal RNA, 254 nt
Filed under: uncultured bacterium
Lineage: Bacteria
Description: partial 16S ribosomal RNA
Rfam family: Bacterial small subunit ribosomal RNA
Source: RNAcentral